Molecule: transfer RNA, 84 nt
Filed under: Candidatus Altimarinota bacterium
Lineage: Bacteria; Candidatus Altimarinota
Also listed under: 1 other name
Description: tRNA-Leu
Rfam family: tRNA
About the family: Transfer RNA (tRNA) molecules are approximately 80 nucleotides in length. Their secondary structure includes four short double-helical elements and three loops (D, anti-codon, and T loops).
Source: RNAcentral
GCCCGGAUGGCGGAAUUGGUAGACGCACAGGACUUAAAAUCCUGCGAUAGAAAUGUCGUGCCGGUUCGAUUCCGGCUCCGGGCA